This 253-nucleotide ribosomal RNA is filed under the name uncultured bacterium. RNAcentral's name for it is "partial 16S ribosomal RNA". It matches the Rfam family "Bacterial small subunit ribosomal RNA", at positions 524 to 776 of the family's 1533-position model. The record is from RNAcentral.
UACAGAGGUCUCAAGCGUUGUUCGGAUUCAUUGGGCGUAAAGGGUGCGUAGGCGGCGCUGUAAGUCGGGUGUGAAAUUUCGGAGCUUAACUCCGAAACUGCAUUCGAUACUGCGGUGCUUGAGGACUGGAGAGGAGACUGGAAUUCAUGGUGUAGCAGUGAAAUGCGUAGAGAUCAUGAGGAAGACCAGUGGCGAAGGCGGAUCUCUGGACAGUUCCUGACACUGAGGCACGAAAGCCAGGGGAGCAAACGGG